RNAcentral lists this ribosomal RNA (489 nucleotides) under uncultured bacterium. RNAcentral describes it as "partial 16S ribosomal RNA". It matches the Rfam family "Bacterial small subunit ribosomal RNA", at positions 28 to 507 of the family's 1533-position model. The record is from RNAcentral.
GAUGAACGCUAGCGGGAGGCCUAACACAUGCAAGCCGAGCGGGAUUUGUUGGUUAGCUUGCUAACUAACAAUGAGAGCGGCGUACGGGUGCGUAGCACGUGUGCAACCUGCCUUUAUCUGGGGGAUAGCCUUUCGAAAGGAAGAUUAAUACCCCAUAACAUAUUGAUUGGCAUCAGUUAAUAUUGAAAGCUCCGGCGGAUAGAGAUGGGCACGCGUAAGAUUAGCUAGUUGGUGAGGUAACGGCUCACCAAGGCUGCGAUCUUUAGGGGGCCUGAGAGGGGGAUCCCCCACACUGGUACUGAGACACGGACCAGACUCCUACGGGAGGCAGCAGUGAGGAAGAUUGGACAAUGGGUGAGAGCCUGAUCCAGCCAUCCCGCGUGAAGGACUAAGGACCUAUGGUUUGUAAACUUCUUUUAUACAGGGAUAAACCUACUCUCGUGAGGGUAGCUGAAGGUACUGUAUGAAUAAGCACCGGCUAACUCCGUG